AUUUGUCGUAUGGUUCAUAUCCUUCGUUCUCGUCUUCUCUCUCGUAAUACCUUGAUGCAUGACAAAUAACAAUCAACACCACACAUACAGAAACCAAAAUCUUCACAAACCCUUUAGAGACAGUCACCAUUUUGAAUUAUCAAAGUAUUUCGGUAGUGCAGUUUAAUAUAAGCAGUCGUAGUUAUGUAUAUGACUUCAAAAUGAAUCUUAUUUAUAAAUUA
Molecule: long non-coding RNA, 221 nt
Filed under: Mytilus galloprovincialis (Mediterranean mussel)
Lineage: Eukaryota; Metazoa; Mollusca; Bivalvia; Mytilida; Mytilidae
Source: RNAcentral